GAGGUUUUAUAUUAGUUGAAGGUGCUAACUUUGAUUAGGGAUUAGGAAUGAUUCCAAACUUCU
Molecule: transfer RNA, 63 nt
Filed under: Eleutherocaulis alte
Lineage: Eukaryota; Metazoa; Mollusca; Gastropoda; Systellommatophora; Veronicellidae
Description: Laevicaulis alte tRNA-Ser
Source: RNAcentral